This 379-nucleotide ribosomal RNA is filed under the name uncultured eukaryote. RNAcentral's name for it is "partial 18S ribosomal RNA". It matches the Rfam family "Eukaryotic small subunit ribosomal RNA", at positions 592 to 976 of the family's 1831-position model. The record is from RNAcentral.
CAAUAGCGUAUAUUUAAGUUGUUGCAGUUAAAAAGCUCGUAGUUGGAUUUCGGAUGGGAUUUGCCGGUCCGUCGUUACGAUUUGCACUGGCCAGUCCUAUCUUGUUGUCGGGGACUAGCUCUUUGGAUUCACUUCCUGGGACUAGGAGCUGACGAGGUUACUUUGAGUAAAUUAGAGUGUUCAAAGCAAGCCUACGCUCUGAAUACAUUAGCAUGGAAUAACACGAUAGGACUCUGGCUUAUCUUGUUGGUCUGUGAGACCAGAGUAAUGAUUAAGAGGGACAGUCGGGGACAUUCGUAUUUCAUUGUCAGAGGUGAAAUUCUUGGAUUUAUGAAAGACGAACUUCUGCGAAAGCAUUUGUCAAGGAUGUUUUCAUUAA